GACGAACGCUGGCGGCGUGCCUAACACAUGCAAGUCGAACGGAGAUUUCAGCAAUGAAAUCUUAGUGGCGAACGGGUGAGUAACGCGUAGACAACCUACCUUCUAGAUGGGGACAACACUGCGAAAGUGGUGCUAAUACCGAAUGUUGUAUCGAUGAUGCAUAUCGUUGAUACUAACGAUGGCCUCUAUUUAUAAGCUAUCGCUAGAAGAUGGGUCUGCGUCUGAUUAGCUAGUUGGUGAGGUAAUGGCUCACCAAGGCGACGAUCAGUAGCCGGUCUGAGAGGAUGAACGGCCACACUUGGACUGAGAAACGGACCAGACUCCUACGGGAGGCAGCAGUGGGGAAUCUUCCACAAUGGACGAAAGUCUGACGGAGCAACGCCGCGUGAGUGAUGAAUGUUUUCGGAUCGUAAAACUCUGUUUUCAGGGACGAAUGUGGGUCGUGUAAAUAAUGCGGCCUAAUGACGGUACCUGAGUAGAAAGCCACGGCUAACUACGUGCCAGCCGCCGCCGUAA
RNAcentral lists this ribosomal RNA (516 nucleotides) under uncultured bacterium. RNAcentral describes it as "partial 16S ribosomal RNA". It matches the Rfam family "Bacterial small subunit ribosomal RNA", at positions 28 to 523 of the family's 1533-position model. The record is from RNAcentral.